This 282-nucleotide ribosomal RNA is filed under the name uncultured Bacteroidota bacterium. RNAcentral describes it as "uncultured Bacteroidetes bacterium partial 16S ribosomal RNA". It matches the Rfam family "Bacterial small subunit ribosomal RNA", at positions 28 to 310 of the family's 1533-position model. Lineage: Bacteria; Pseudomonadati; Bacteroidota. The record is from RNAcentral.
GAUGAACGCUAGCGACAGGCCUAACACAUGCAAGUCGAGCGGGAUUCACCUUUCGGGGUGAUGAGAGCGGCGCACGGGUGAGUAACGCGUAUGUAACCUGCCUGCAACAGGGGGAUAGCUUCCGGAAACGGAAAUUAACACCGCAUAAGACCACGUUGAAGCAUUUCAGAGUGGUAAAAUAUUAAUAGGUUGCAGAUGGGCAUGCGUGACAUUAGGUAGUUGGUAGGGUAACGGCCUACCAAGCCGACGAUGUCUAGGGGGUUCUGAGAGGAAGGUCCCCCA